Molecule: long non-coding RNA, 557 nt
Filed under: Chinchilla lanigera (long-tailed chinchilla)
Lineage: Eukaryota; Metazoa; Chordata; Mammalia; Rodentia; Chinchillidae
Description: lncRNA (ENSCLAG00000028395.1)
Source: RNAcentral
CUUCUGCCUGGAGAAUGUUGCUGAGAUACAGAAAAUACUGGGACAUGGCUUGUGGGACAUAGGAUUUACUAAGACUUAGUAGUACUGACAAGAAAGGAUAGGAUUAAUUGAAACUAACCACCAUGAGAAGCACACGUGAGUACAAUGGCACUGCUCCAUUUGAUAUUCCCUGAGUGGAAUGGCAGGAAGAAUCCAAAGAAUCUGAACUUUAAGCCUUGUAGGGUGGAAACUACAGAAGCAGGAUGUGGUCACAGCCAAAGGCAAUGCAUUACCUUUUAUGAAGCGGCUGAUAAGUGUUGCACGUCUUUUUUGUUAUGUUUUGUUUUAUCCAGUCCUUCUAAUAGUGAAUGCAUCAGGAAAUGUGUGUUUGUUUAGCAGCAAGUGUGUAGAGCAAAUUACCAUCCAGACUGCAGACAGAUAAUAAAGUUUAUUGUACCCACUUGAGAUUGUCUACAACUCACAGUGCCGAGAGGCUAAGGCGGAGAAACCUCAGUCAAACUCUGGAACUGUAAGUAAACUGUUACAAAACCCCAGUGUUUCGAUUAGGAAAGAGUGGU